This 74-nucleotide transfer RNA is filed under the name Methanocella sp. PtaU1.Bin125. RNAcentral's name for it is "tRNA-Val". It matches the Rfam family "tRNA". Rfam says of the family: Transfer RNA (tRNA) molecules are approximately 80 nucleotides in length. Their secondary structure includes four short double-helical elements and three loops (D, anti-codon, and T loops). Lineage: Archaea; Methanobacteriati; Methanobacteriota; Methanomicrobia; Methanocellales; Methanocellaceae. RNAcentral also lists the same sequence under 1 other name. The record is from RNAcentral.
GGGCCUGUGGUCUAGCUGGUUAUGACGUCGCCUUCACACGGCGGAGGUCAGGGGUUCGAAUCCCUUCGGGCCCA